This 696-nucleotide ribosomal RNA is filed under the name Pseudomonadota bacterium. RNAcentral's name for it is "bacterial SSU rRNA". It matches the Rfam family "Bacterial small subunit ribosomal RNA", at positions 28 to 723 of the family's 1533-position model. Lineage: Bacteria; Pseudomonadati; Pseudomonadota. The record is from RNAcentral.
AUUGAACGCUGGCGGAAUGCUUUACACAUGCAAGUCGAACGGUAGAGGGGGCAACCCCUUGAGAGUGGCGAACGGGUGAGUAAUGUAUCGGAACGUGCCCAGUCGUGGGGGAUAACGUAGUGAAAAUUACGCUAAUACCGCAUACGAUCUAUGGAUGAAAGCGGGGGAUCGCAAGACCUCGCGCGAUUGGAGCGGCCGAUAUCAGAUUAGGUAGUUGGUGGGGUAAAGGCUCACCAAGCCAACGAUCUGUAGCUGGUCUGAGAGGACGACCAGCCACACUGGAACUGAGACACGGUCCAGACUCCUACGGGAGGCAGCAGUGGGGAAUUUUGGACAAUGGACGCAAGUCUGAUCCAGCCAUUCCGCGUGCAGGACGAAGGCCUUCGGGUUGUAAACUGCUUUUGUACGGAACGAAAAAGCUCUUAUUAAUACUAGGAGUCCAUGACGGUACCGUAAGAAUAAGCACCGGCUAACUACGUGCCAGCAGCCGCGGUAAUACGUAGGGUGCAAGCGUUAAUCGGAAUUACUGGGCGUAAAGCGUGCGCAGGCGGUUAUAUAAGACAGAUGUGAAAUCCCCGAGCUUAACUUGGGAACUGCAUUUGUGACUGUAUAGCUAGAGUACGGCAGAGGGGGAUGGAAUUCCGCGUGUAGCAGUGAAAUGCGUAGAUAUGCGGAGGAACACCGAUGGCGAAGGCA